UACGAAGGGUGCAAGCGUUACUCGGAAUUACUGGGCGUAAAGCGUGCGUAGGCGGUUUGUUAAGUCUGAUGUGAAAGCCCUGGGCUCAACCUGGGAAUGGCAUUGGAUACUGGCAACCUAGAAUGUGGUAGAGGGUGGCGGAAUUCCCGGUGUAGCAGUGAAAUGCGUAGAUAUCGGGAGGAACAUCCGUGGCGAAGGCGGCCACCUGGACCAACAUUGACGCUGAGGCACGAAAGCGUGGGGAGCAAACAGGAUUAGAUACCCUGGUAGUCCACGCCCUAAACGAUGCGAACUGGAUGUUGGGUUCAAUUGAGAACUCAGUAUCGAAGCUAACGCGUUAAGUUCGCCGCCUGGGAAGUACGGUCGCAAGACUGAA
RNAcentral lists this ribosomal RNA (376 nucleotides) under uncultured bacterium. RNAcentral's name for it is "bacterial SSU rRNA". It matches the Rfam family "Bacterial small subunit ribosomal RNA", at positions 524 to 898 of the family's 1533-position model. The record is from RNAcentral.